CCCGCCCGGAGCUGAGGGAGGGAGGGAGGGAGGACCCGGCGCUCCCCGCCCGGCGCCACCCGGGGGGAGUUUCCCCUCAGCGCGGGCAGGUGGGGCCGCUCCGCCGCCCGCCCCGCCUCAGCCCCGCGGGGCAGCGCGGGCAGCUCACGGCUCGGCCUCUGCCCCUCGCCGGCAGCCGCCGCCAGCAGCAACAGGUCCGUGCCCGCUCCUCCCUCCGCCUGCCAGGCGAACAAAGGGGCCGAGCGCGGCCCCGCGCCCGCCCGGCCCCUCCGCCAGCCCGGCCCCUGCGCUUCAGCCAUUUGCCUCGCCUGGCACCGCGGCGCCGCUCGCCGCCGCCUCCCGCUCCGCCGCCUGGGCCGGGCGGCGCGGUCGCUGCGCUGCGGGAGCUGCCCCGGAGCGGCGCGGGGCUCGUCGGCCGAAAGGGGGAAUGCAUGAGGAACACGGAUAUGAAGAGAACUUCCUGAAGGUCAUGCCAAUGAAAUUUGGCUAGUGGGGAAUCGCCUUCCAGAAUAGACUGCGGCCUCAGCCUUCCGCUGAAGCAGUUGCACAAGGUGAAUACAUUGUGAUAGUACUCCCAAGCAUCUGCCGUUAAAGGAGACUUUUGCUCAUCACCCAGCGCAGUGUAGGGACCAGUUGUCGUGAAAAGGAUUACAGUGCCUGCAGACUGCUUAAAAUUUCUGCAGAGCAACGGGAAAACCAGAACUGCUUUUCAGGCUGUUGAGGUGCUCAUCGGGGCGAUCCCACCGAAGGAGCUCAGGUUUUCGGGGGUGAGCUGACGCGGGAGGGGGCCGAGCCGCAGGGUGGAUCCCCGAGGAAAAGGAGAAGCGGCCGCUUAGCCCCGGAAACCAGCGGUGGCCCCGCCUGCGAGAGCGGGGGCCCCGAAUACUAAUGCUGGGAGGCGGGAGGUGUGGGGGGAGAGAAGCCGGGGAGGAGCGAGGAAGGCGCGGAUGCUGAGCGCUGUUGGGUCUGUCCCGCAGGUGAUGGCCGCGCUCCGCACGGACCAGGCGCGCCGCC
This 1014-nucleotide long non-coding RNA is filed under the name Zonotrichia albicollis (white-throated sparrow). RNAcentral describes it as "lncRNA (ENSZALG00000010071.1)". Lineage: Eukaryota; Metazoa; Chordata; Aves; Passeriformes; Passerellidae. The record is from RNAcentral.